UGAGCAAUCUGCCCUUCUCUUCGGGAUAAGCGUGGGAAACCGCGUCUAAUGCCGAAUACGACCUCCUUUCGCAUGAUCGGAGGUGGAAAGCUCCGGCGGAGAAGGAUGAGCUCGCGGCCUAUCAGCUAGUUGGUGUGGGUAAUGGCCCACCAAGGCGACGACGGGUAGCCGGCCUGGAGAGGGUGACCCGGCCACACGUGGGACUGAGACACGGCCCAGACCUCCGUACGGGGAGGCAG
This 239-nucleotide ribosomal RNA is filed under the name uncultured bacterium. Its description in RNAcentral is "partial 16S ribosomal RNA". It matches the Rfam family "Bacterial small subunit ribosomal RNA", at positions 118 to 351 of the family's 1533-position model. The record is from RNAcentral.